RNAcentral lists this small RNA (421 nucleotides) under Pan troglodytes (chimpanzee). RNAcentral's name for it is "processed transcript". Lineage: Eukaryota; Metazoa; Chordata; Mammalia; Primates; Hominidae. The record is from RNAcentral.
GCAAAAUUAUUCUGUACAUGGGAACACAGAGACUUAAUAUCACGUCCAAAUUUAUCUGUGAUUUAUGCACAUGUAGGAGACCAAACAUGUGUGUCUAUAUACCUACCCAGGAGGACGCCACCUCCAGUAAAUUCACCUAUUUCAAUCACAUCAUAUUAUUCAGCUGAAGACAGAGAUGAAACAUUUGUACAAGAUGGUUCCAUGUGUGGUCCUGAUAUGUAUUGUUUCGAAAUGCAUUGUAAACAUGUUAGAUUCCUGAUGAAUUUAAAAUUGUGUGAUGCUUCUAAUCAUUGUGAUCGUCAUGGAGUUUGUAACAAUUUUAACCAUUGCCAUUGUGAAAAGGGAUAUAAUCCUCCUUACUGCCAACCAAAGCAAGGAGCAUUUGGAAGUAUUGAUGAUGGACACUUAGUACCACCAACUG